Onychomys torridus (southern grasshopper mouse) is the source of this 67-nucleotide small nucleolar RNA. RefSeq annotates it as small nucleolar RNA SNORA72. The transcript has a single exon. NCBI's taxonomy places the organism in Eukaryota, Metazoa, Chordata, Mammalia, Rodentia, Cricetidae. The record is from RefSeq and is a predicted model, not a curated record.
AAAAAAAGACCAUGUAUGUGUCCCCAGGGCUAGUUCUUUCCCUAGGUCUGGCUUUACAAAUACUUUU